GCACCAGACAAAUAGCAGCACAUACACUAAAAUUGGAACGAUACAGAAAAGAUUAGUAUGGCCCCUGCGCAAGGAUGACACGCAAAUAAAUGUGAGAAAAGUACUC
Molecule: small nuclear RNA, 106 nt
Organism: Eublepharis macularius
Lineage: Eukaryota; Metazoa; Chordata; Lepidosauria; Squamata; Eublepharidae
Source: RefSeq, a predicted model, not a curated record